UUAUAACUAGUUGAGCCAACUGUGCUCUUUUCCCCAAGCAGGCAGUGUGCAAUGGCUGCAAAGAGCAGCCUCCUCGGUAGUGUAGGCAGCCUGCUGCCCGUACAGGUUGCCCUAAGGGACCUUGGAGACAACU
Molecule: small nucleolar RNA, 133 nt
Organism: Bison bison bison
Lineage: Eukaryota; Metazoa; Chordata; Mammalia; Artiodactyla; Bovidae
Gene: SNORA70
Rfam family: Small nucleolar RNA SNORA70
About the family: snoRNA U70 seems to be exclusive to mammals and is a member of the H/ACA class of snoRNA which contain H (ANANNA) and ACA box motifs.
Source: Ensembl